RNAcentral lists this ribosomal RNA (459 nucleotides) under uncultured bacterium. RNAcentral's name for it is "partial 16S ribosomal RNA". It matches the Rfam family "Bacterial small subunit ribosomal RNA", at positions 338 to 795 of the family's 1533-position model. The record is from RNAcentral.
CCUACGGGAGGCAGCAGUGAGGAAUAUUGGUCAAUGGGCGGAAGCCUGACCCAGCAAAGUAGCGUGCGGGAUGAAGGCCCUACGGGUCGUAAACCGCUUUUGCACGGGGAUAACACCCUCCACUUGUGGAGGUCUGCGGGUACCGUGCGAAUAAGGGCCGGCUAAUUCCGUGCCAGCAGCCGCGGUAAUACGGAAGGCCCGAGGGUUGUCCGGAUUCAUUGGGCGUAAGGGGAGCGUAGGCGGGCGUUCAAGUCAGUGGUAAAAUCGCGCGGAUCAACCGCGCCCCGCAGUUGAAACUGGAGGCCUUGAGUUCACAACAGGCAGGCGGAAUUCGUGGUGUAGCGGUGAAAUGCAUAGAUAUCACGAGGAACCCCGAUUGCGAAGGCAGCCUGCCGGGGUGCGACUGACGCUGAGGCUCGAAGGUGCGGGUAGCAAACAGGAUUAGAUACCCCUGUAGUC